GGAGGUGUAGCUCAGUUUGGUCAGAGCGCAGGAUUCAUAACCCUGAGGUCGGCGGUUCAACCCCGCCCACCUCCA
RNAcentral lists this transfer RNA (75 nucleotides) under Hylemonella gracilis ATCC 19624. It matches the Rfam family "tRNA". From Rfam's summary of the family: Transfer RNA (tRNA) molecules are approximately 80 nucleotides in length. Their secondary structure includes four short double-helical elements and three loops (D, anti-codon, and T loops). Lineage: Bacteria; Pseudomonadati; Pseudomonadota; Betaproteobacteria; Burkholderiales; Comamonadaceae. The record is from Rfam by way of RNAcentral.